RNAcentral lists this ribosomal RNA (465 nucleotides) under uncultured bacterium. Its description in RNAcentral is "partial 16S ribosomal RNA". It matches the Rfam family "Bacterial small subunit ribosomal RNA", at positions 28 to 507 of the family's 1533-position model. The record is from RNAcentral.
GACGAACGCUGGCGGCGUGCUUAACACAUGCAAGUCGAACGGAAAGGCCCUGCUUGCAGGGUACUCGAGUGGCGAACGGGUGAGUAACACGUGGGUGAUCUGCCCUGCACUUCGGGAUAAGCCUGGGAAACUGGGUCUAAUACCGGAUAGGAGCCAUUUUUAGUGUGAUGGUUGGAAAGUUUUUUCGGUGUAGGAUGAGCUCGCGGCCUAUCAGCUUGUUGGUGGGGUAAUGGCCUACCAAGGCGGCGACGGGUAGCCGGCCUGGGAGGGUGGACGGCCACAUUGGGACUGAGAUACGGCCCAGACUCCUACGGGAGGCAGCAGUGGGGAAUAUUGCAAAAUGGGCGCAAGCCUGAUGCAGCGACGCCGCGUGGGGGAUGACGGCCUUCGGGUUGUAAACUCCUUUCGCUAGGGACGAAGCUUUUUGUGACGGUACCUAGAUAAGAAGCACCGGCUAACUACGUG